Long non-coding RNA from Microtus ochrogaster (prairie vole), 170 nucleotides. RefSeq lists it as uncharacterized. NCBI's taxonomy places the organism in Eukaryota, Metazoa, Chordata, Mammalia, Rodentia, Cricetidae. The transcript has 2 exons. The record is from RefSeq and is a predicted model, not a curated record.
UCAAGAAAUGUGGACUAUGAUAAAGAAAACAGCCAAGAAGAAGAAAAUCUAAUGAAUAGCGAAACUUUUGUCAAUGAAGUCUUUGAUGAGCAGGAAUCCUUAACCUCUUUACAAACUGAAUGACCUCGUUAACAAAGAGCUGACACCUCUCAAUAAAUAUUGUCUGUCCA